ACGAACGCUGGCGGCGUGCUUAACACCUGCAAGUCGAACGGAAAGGCCCUGCUUGCCGGGUACUCGAGUGGCGAACGGGUGAGUAACACGUGGGUGAUCUGCCCUGCACUUCGGGAUAAGCCUGGGAAACUGGGUCUAAUACCGGAUAGGAGCCAUUUUUAGUGUGAUGGUUGGAAAGUUUUUUCGGUGUAGGAUGAGCUCGCGGCCUAUCAGCUUGUUGGUGGGGUAAUGGCCUACCAAGGCGGCGACGGGUAGCCGGCCUGAGAGGGUGGACGGCCACAGUGGGACUGAGAUACGGCCCAGACUCCUACGGGAGGCAGCAGUGGGGAAUAUUGCACAAUGGGCGCAAGCCUGAUGCAGCGACGCCGCGUGGGGGAUGACGGCCUUCGGGUUGUAAACUCCUUUCGCUAGGGACGAAGCUUUUUGUGACGGUACCUAGAGAAGAAGCACCGGCUAACUACGUG
Molecule: ribosomal RNA, 464 nt
Filed under: uncultured bacterium
Lineage: Bacteria
Description: partial 16S ribosomal RNA
Rfam family: Bacterial small subunit ribosomal RNA
Source: RNAcentral